This is a long non-coding RNA of Syngnathus acus (greater pipefish), 320 nucleotides long. RefSeq lists it as uncharacterized. The transcript is spliced from 2 exons. Lineage: Eukaryota; Metazoa; Chordata; Actinopteri; Syngnathiformes; Syngnathidae. The record is from RefSeq and is a predicted model, not a curated record.
UCUAACUUAAUUUUCUCCAGAAACAAACAACUUUUUUCAUUGUUGUUAUAUUGCAAGAACCAUGUUUGUUGAUGGAUAAUGUUUUAUUUUUUUCAGAUGAGAUAACAUUUAUCCAAGAUGUGGGGCACAUACCAAUGAAGAGGUUCCCUGUAAGUUUAAAACUGGAGGCCUUAACAGACCAAGAAGUCCAUCUAAAAAUUGAUAGUCUGGAGGACAUUAAGGAUCUACAGAAAGGAUCGGUGGAGUGUCUAUCAGCCAAUCACCCGCAGUACCCAACAACCAGUGUCACGGAAAAUGAGAAGACUAUGAUGAUUGAAGAA